CAGACUCCUACGGGAGGCAGCAGUGGGGAAUAUUGGACAAUGGGCGCAAGCCUGAUCCAGCCAUGCCGCGUGAGUGAUGAAGGCCUUAGGGUUGUAAAGCUCUUUCACCGGGGAAGAUAAUGACGGUACCCGGAGAAGAAGCCCCGGCUAACUUCGUGCCAGCAGCCGCGGUAAUACGAAGGGGGCUAGCGUUGUUCGGAAUUACUGGGCGUAAAGCGCACGUAGGCGGCUUUGUAAGUCAGGGGUGAAAUCCCGGAGCUCAACUCCGGAACUGCCUUUGAUACUGCAUCUCUCGAGUCCGGGAGA
Molecule: ribosomal RNA, 306 nt
Filed under: uncultured bacterium
Lineage: Bacteria
Description: bacterial SSU rRNA
Rfam family: Bacterial small subunit ribosomal RNA
Source: RNAcentral